GGCCUGGCCGGGCGGUCUGCCUAACGGUAUGUACUGUCUGGCCGGGCCUUACCUCUUGGUGAGCCGGCAUGCCCUUCACUGGGUGUGUCGGUGAACCAGGACUUUUACCUUGAGAAAAUUAGAGUGUUCAAAGCAGGCCUAUGCCCGAAUACAUUAGCAUGGAAUAAUAAAAUAGGACGU
Molecule: ribosomal RNA, 180 nt
Filed under: uncultured Glomeromycotina
Lineage: Eukaryota; Fungi; Glomeromycota
Description: partial small subunit ribosomal RNA
Source: RNAcentral